This 465-nucleotide ribosomal RNA is filed under the name uncultured bacterium. RNAcentral describes it as "partial 16S ribosomal RNA". It matches the Rfam family "Bacterial small subunit ribosomal RNA", at positions 338 to 795 of the family's 1533-position model. The record is from RNAcentral.
CCUACGGGGGGCAGCAGUAGGGAAUCUUCCACAAUGGACGAAAGUCUGAUGGAGCAACGCCGCGUGAGUGAAGAAGGGUUUCGGCUCGUAAAGCUUUGUUGGUAGUGAAGAAAGAUAGAGGUAGUAACUGGCCUUUAUUUGACGGUAAUUACUUAGAAAGUCACGGCUAACUACGUGCCAGCAGCCGCGGUAAUACGUAGGUGGCAAGCGUUGUCCGGAUUUAUUGGGCGUAAAGCGAGUGCAGGCGGUUCAAUAAGUCUGAUGUGAAAGCCUUCGGCUCAACCGGAGAAUUGCAUCAGAAACUGUUAGACUUGAGUACAGAAGAGGAGAGUGGAACUCCAGGUGUAGCGGUGGAAUGCGUAGAUAUAUGGAAGAACACCAGUGGCGAAGGCAGCUCUCUGGUCUGCAACUGACGCUGAGGCUCGAAAGCAUGGGUAGCGAACAGGAUUAGAUACCCGGGUAGUC